Molecule: ribosomal RNA, 112 nt
Filed under: Caerostris extrusa
Lineage: Eukaryota; Metazoa; Arthropoda; Arachnida; Araneae; Araneidae
Source: RNAcentral
AACGGCCAUACCAUGCUGAAUAUACCAGUUCUCGUUAGAUCACCGAAGUCAAGCAUCAUUGGGCGUGGUCAGUACUUGGGUGGGUGACCACCUGGGAACACCCCACGUGCCG